UGGGGAAUAUUGCACAAUGGGCGCAAGCCUGAUGCAGCCAUACCGCGUGUAUGAAGAAGGACUUCGGGUUGUAAAGUACUUUCAGUCGGGAGGAAGGUGGUAAGGUUAAUAACCUUGGCAAUUGACGUUACCGACAGAAGAAGCACCGGCUAACUCCGUGCCAGCAGCCGCGGUAAUACGGAGGGUGCAAGCGUUAAUCGGAAUUACUGGGCGUAAAGCGCACGCCGGCGGUUGAUUGAGUCAGAUGUGAAAUCCCCGGGCUUAACCCGGGAAUUGCAUCUGUGACUGGUCAGCUAGAGUCUUGUAGAGGGGGGUAGAAUUCCAUGUGUAGCGGUGAAAUGCGUAGAGAUGUGGAGGAAUACCGGUGGCGAAGACGGCCCCCUGGACAAAGACUGACGCUCAGGUGCGAAAGCGUAGGGAGCAAACAGG
RNAcentral lists this ribosomal RNA (429 nucleotides) under Chloroflexota bacterium. Its description in RNAcentral is "Chloroflexi bacterium partial 16S ribosomal RNA". It matches the Rfam family "Bacterial small subunit ribosomal RNA", at positions 355 to 776 of the family's 1533-position model. Lineage: Bacteria; Bacillati; Chloroflexota. The record is from RNAcentral.